RNAcentral lists this ribosomal RNA (206 nucleotides) under uncultured bacterium. Its description in RNAcentral is "partial 16S ribosomal RNA". It matches the Rfam family "Bacterial small subunit ribosomal RNA", at positions 289 to 514 of the family's 1533-position model. The record is from RNAcentral.
GACCUGAGAGGGUGACCGGCCACAUUGGGACUGAGACACGGCCCAAACUCCUAGGGGAGGCAGCAGUGGGGAAUAUUGCACAAUGGGGGAAACCCUGAUGCAGCGACGCCGCGAGAAGGAAGAAGUAUUUCGGUAUGUAAAUCUCUAUCAGCAAGGAAGAAAAGACGUACCUGAGUAAGAAGCCCCGGCUAACUACGUGCCAGCAG